UAAGAAAUAUGGUUGAACAGGGUUUGAUCAGUCUUGUUAAAAUCCCUACAAAAUUUAAUCAUUCUAAUUUAGGAACAAAAAUUCUGACACUUAGUAAAUUUACAAAUUGUUUGAAAAUUCUGAACAUCACCUGAAAGACUGAUCAGGUGACAUUCAGAAGUUCAUUUGUUGAAAACUAAACUGACUUUAAUUUUUCUUUUUUACAGGUUCUUAGAGCUAAUGAAGUCAAGUUAAGCUUGAAUCCACUAGUUGAAACAAAGAAAUAGUUCAAUAAGGUGGAGAUUGUUAAAGAAAUGGGCUGUCUCACUAUUUCUUUAUUGGGCCUUAUUACUUAAACUGUUGGAGGCCCA
Molecule: long non-coding RNA, 350 nt
Filed under: Olea europaea (common olive)
Lineage: Eukaryota; Viridiplantae; Streptophyta; Magnoliopsida; Lamiales; Oleaceae
Description: long non-coding RNA (OEUR_LNC003555)
Source: RNAcentral